GACGAACGCUGGCGGCGUGCCUAAUACAUGCAAGUAGAACGCUGAAGAGAGGAGCUUGCUCUUCUUGGAUGAGUUGCGAACGGGUGAGUAACGCGUAGGUAACCUGCCUUGUAGCGGGGGAUAACUAUUGGAAACGAUAGCUAAUACCGCAUAACAAUGGAUGACACAUGUCAUUUAUUUGAAAGGGGCAAUUGCUCCACUACAAGAUGGACCUGCGUUGUAUUAGCUAGUAGGUGAGGUAACGGCUCACCUAGGCGACGAUACAUAGCCGACCUGAGAGGGUGAGCGGCCACACUGGGACUGAGACACGGCCCAGACUCCUACGGGAGGCAGCAGUAGGGAAUCUUCGGCAAUGGGGGCAACCCUGACCGAGCAACGCCGCGUGAGUGAAGAAGGUUUUCGGAUCGUAAAGCUCUGUUGUAAGUCAAGAACGAGUGUGAGAGUGGAAAGUUCACACUGUGACGGUAGCUGACCAGAAAGGGACGGCUAACUACGUG
RNAcentral lists this ribosomal RNA (497 nucleotides) under uncultured bacterium. RNAcentral's name for it is "partial 16S ribosomal RNA". It matches the Rfam family "Bacterial small subunit ribosomal RNA", at positions 28 to 507 of the family's 1533-position model. The record is from RNAcentral.